RNAcentral lists this ribosomal RNA (480 nucleotides) under uncultured bacterium. RNAcentral's name for it is "partial 16S ribosomal RNA". It matches the Rfam family "Bacterial small subunit ribosomal RNA", at positions 28 to 523 of the family's 1533-position model. The record is from RNAcentral.
GACGAACGCUGGCGGCGUGCUUAACACAUGCAAGUCGAGCGGAAAGGCCACUUCGGUGGUACUCGGGCGGCGAACGGGUGAGUAACACGUGAGUAAUCUGCCCUUGGCUUCGGGAUAGCCACCGGAAACGGUGAUUAAUACCGGAUAUGACCACUCUAGGCAUCCAGUGGUGGUGGAAAGUUUUUCGGCCAGGGAUGUGCUCGCGGCCUAUCAGCUUGAUGGUGAGGUAACGGCUCACCAUGGCUUCGACGGGUAGCCGGCCUGAGAGGGUGACCGGUCACACUGGGACUGAGACACGGCCCAGACUCCUACGGGAGGCAGCAGUGGGGAAUAUUGGACAAUGGGCGGAAGCCUGAUCCAGCAACGCCGCGUGAGGGAUGACGGCCUUCGGGUUGUAAACCUCUUUCAGCAGGGACGAAGCGCGAGUGACGGUACCUGCAGAAGAAGCACCGGCCAACUACGUGCCAGCCGCCGCAGUAA